AGAGAUUCCUGUACCAGUGCUAAUUGUUUAACCGAUGGGGUGCCAAAGAAGGAUAGGGAAUCGCACGAAUGGAAAUGUGCGUGCAAGCAGUGAGUGUGAGAAGUAGGCAAAUCCGCCUCUCGUGAAGCAUGAGCUGUGAUGGGGAAGGAAAUUAAGUACGGAAGUUCCUGAUUUCACGCUGUCAAGAAAAGCCUCCAGGAAGAGUAGUACUGCCCGCACCGCAAACCGACACAGGCAGAUGAGGAGAGAAUCCUAACGCGAGCGAGAGAACUCCCGUUAAGGAACUCGGCAAAAUGACCCCGUCACUUCGGGAGAAGGGGUGCUC
This 325-nucleotide ribosomal RNA is filed under the name Listeria monocytogenes. RNAcentral's name for it is "bacterial LSU rRNA". It matches the Rfam family "Bacterial large subunit ribosomal RNA", at positions 1431 to 1753 of the family's 2925-position model. Lineage: Bacteria; Bacillati; Bacillota; Bacilli; Caryophanales; Listeriaceae. The record is from RNAcentral.